AACGAACGCUGGCGGCAUGCCUAACACAUGCAAGUCGAACGAGACCUUCGGGUCUAGUGGCGCACGUGUGCGUAACGCGUGGUAACCUGCCCUUAGGUUCGGAAUAACUCCCCGUAAGGGGUGCUAAUACCGGUUAAUCUCUUCGGACCAAAGAUUUAUCGCCUUUGGAUGGGCCCGCGUUGGAUUAGCUGGUUGGUAGGGUAAAAGCCUACCAAGGCGACGAUCCAUAGCUGGUCUGAGAGGAUGAUCAGCCACACUGGGACUGAGACACGGCCCAGCAUGCGACGGGAGGGAGCAGUGGGGAAUAUUGGACAAUGGGCGAAAGCCUGAUCCAGCAAUGCGGGGUGAGUGAGGAAGGGGUUAGGGUUGUAAAGCUGUUUUACACGGGAUGAUAAUGACAGUAACGGGAGAAUAAGCACCGGCUAACUACGUG
RNAcentral lists this ribosomal RNA (433 nucleotides) under uncultured bacterium. Its description in RNAcentral is "partial 16S ribosomal RNA". It matches the Rfam family "Bacterial small subunit ribosomal RNA", at positions 29 to 507 of the family's 1533-position model. The record is from RNAcentral.